Molecule: ribosomal RNA, 447 nt
Filed under: uncultured bacterium
Lineage: Bacteria
Description: bacterial SSU rRNA
Rfam family: Bacterial small subunit ribosomal RNA
Source: RNAcentral
GACCAGACUCCUACGGGAGGCAGCAGUGGGGAAUAUUGCACAAUGGGGGAAACCCUGAUGCAGCGACGCCGCGUGAGUGAAGAAGUAAUUCGUUAUGUAAGGCUCUAUCAGCAGGGAAGAAAAUGACGGUACCUGAGUAAGAAGCCCCGGCUAACUACGUGCCAGCAGCCGCGGUAAUACGUAGGGGGCAAGCGUUAUCCGGAUUUACUGGGUGUAAAGGGAGCGUAGACGGCAGUGCAAGUCAGGAGUGAAAGCCCGGGGCCCAACCCCGGGACUGCUCUUGGAACUGCGCGGCUGGAGUGCAGGAGGGGCAGGCGGAAUUCCUGGUGUAGCGGUGAAAUGCGUAGAUAUCAGGAGGAACGCCGGUGGCGAAGGCGGCCUGCUGGACUGCGACUGACGUUGAGGCCCGAAAGCGUGGGGAGCAAACAGGAUUAGAUACCCGAGUAU